RNAcentral lists this transfer RNA (70 nucleotides) under Cyrtodactylus philippinicus. RNAcentral's name for it is "tRNA-Trp". The record is from RNAcentral. Lineage: Eukaryota; Metazoa; Chordata; Lepidosauria; Squamata; Gekkonidae.
GGACUUAGGUUAAACAAACCGGGGGCCUUCAAAGUCCCAAACAAGAGUCAAACCAGCCCUCCUAGUCCCU